Molecule: ribosomal RNA, 253 nt
Filed under: uncultured bacterium
Lineage: Bacteria
Description: partial 16S ribosomal RNA
Rfam family: Bacterial small subunit ribosomal RNA
Source: RNAcentral
GACGGAGGGUGCAAGCGUUGUUCGGAUUGACUGGGCGUAAAGGGCGUGUAGGCGGUCGGCCAAGUCCAAUGUGAAAGCCCGGGACUUACUUCCGGAAGUGCGUUGGAAACUAGUCGGCUAGAGCGCGAUAGGGGAGGGUAGAAUUCCUGGUGUAGCGGUGAAAUGCGUAGAUAUCAGGAGGAACACCGGCGGCGAAGGCGGCCCUCUGGAUCGUUGCUGACGCUGAGACGCGAAAGCGUGGGGAGCAAACAGG